GAAGUUUUACUGUUGCAUUAUUAAAUUAGUGCAACAUAAAGAUACAUUAGGUGGUAUACCUUAGUAAAAUGAGCUGGUUGUAGAAAACGUGUCACAAAACCUAUAUAGGGGUGGUGAUGUCGGGCAGGCAUGUCAUAUGAGAAAAAUUUCACAAGUGAAAUAUAUAUGACUAUUUAUAUGGAGUGUCAUGCCGGCAUAAGUCAUAUAUAAAUAAUAUAUGAAAAUAAUCAUAUAGAAGGCAAUAUGAUUAAAAAAGUUAAAAAUAAUGAAGUUUUACUGUUGCAUUAUUAAAUUAGUGCAACAUAAAGAUACAUUAGGUGGUAUACCUUAGUAAAAUGAGCUGGUUGUAGAAAACGUGUCAC
Molecule: long non-coding RNA, 362 nt
Organism: Drosophila albomicans
Lineage: Eukaryota; Metazoa; Arthropoda; Insecta; Diptera; Drosophilidae
Exons: 3
Source: RefSeq, a predicted model, not a curated record